UUCAAAUUCUCGGAGCAUUGCGCGUGCUUCUGUUGUGCGGGCUGAUGCGAAGCAUUCUGGGAAGUGUCUCCCAGGUGGUUUCUGUUAGCAUCCGCUCCCCUUGUCCUCCCUUGAGUCUCCUCUCUCCCACACCUUCCUCGACUGAUGCCUGGAUCUGGAGAUAUCAUCGCACUGAUAGGGUCUCAACGCGUGGCUCAGCCUCCUGCCUCAGCCACCGGUGUGUUGCGAUGACAGCCUGA
This 239-nucleotide long non-coding RNA is filed under the name Mus spicilegus (steppe mouse). RNAcentral describes it as "lncRNA (ENSMSIG00000000656.1)". Lineage: Eukaryota; Metazoa; Chordata; Mammalia; Rodentia; Muridae. The record is from RNAcentral.